AUUGCUUCUUCGGCCUUUUGGCUAAGAUCAAGUGUAGUAUCUAUUCUUAUCAGUUUAAUAUAGUUACUAGUUUGAAAAAUGCUUGAAAUGGAGAAAAAAGCAUUAAUAGAAAUUUUAAGAAUUUGAGCCUUGCAGUAACCUUGC
This 144-nucleotide small nuclear RNA is filed under the name Catagonus wagneri (Chacoan peccary). RNAcentral's name for it is "U2 spliceosomal RNA (ENSCWAG00000008329.1)". It matches the Rfam family "U2 spliceosomal RNA". Rfam says of the family: U2 is a small nuclear RNA (snRNA) component of the spliceosome (involved in pre-mRNA splicing). Complementary binding between U2 snRNA (in an area lying towards the 5' end but 3' to hairpin I) and the branchpoint sequence (BPS) of the intron results the bulging out of an unpaired adenosine, on the BPS, which initiates a nucleophilic attack at the intronic 5' splice site, thus starting the first of two transesterification reactions that mediate splicing. Lineage: Eukaryota; Metazoa; Chordata; Mammalia; Artiodactyla; Tayassuidae. The record is from RNAcentral.